UGGUAAAUGAACAUAUCAAAAGAUGAUCAGCAUCAUCUAUCAUUAGGAAAAUGAAAAUUAAAAUCACAAUGAGAUACUGUUAUGUACCUAUUAGGACAUCAACUCUCACCCAUUGCUAGGGGAUACAAAAAUGGUGCAGAUGCUUUGGGACACAGUUUGACAGUUUCUUGGAGUACUAAAAUAGAUUUAACACACAGCACCACCACAUCAGAGAAAUGAAAACCUACCUUAACAGAAAAACCUCUUGGUGAAUAUUUAUAAAAGUUCUAUUCACAAUUGCUCCAAAUUGGAAAUAAUUCAAGUGUCCUUCAGCUGCAUGAACAAGUGGGGAUAUGUCUAUAUAAUGGAAUUUACUAUGUAGCAGUAAAAAGUAAGACACAAAUAAUAUGGAUCUCAAAUACAUGAUGUCAAGGGAAAAAAAAACACAAAUCAAAAAGACUUUUGUGACCUUCUAGAAAAGGCAAAACUAAGUAAUAGAAAACCAACUGAGGGACUGCUAAUGGUUGGGAGAAGAAAGAACAAUUGACCACAAAGUGAUAUGAGAUAAUGCUCUGGGUUGUGGGAUUCUCCUAUGCUUUGGUUGUGGUUUUUGCUAUCAAAAUUCAUAAAACUAUAUACAAAAGAUGGUGAAUUUUACUGUAUAAAUUGUCCUUUAAUACAUGGAAUUUUAAAAGACCUGGAUGGAAUGUCAUUUUCAACAUCUGCUUCCCUGACAGUCUAUUCUGCAAACACCAAAAAAAAAAAAAAAAAAAAAAAAAAAGAUCUCUAUGAAAGUACAAUUCCUUAAAGUGAUGUACACAAUAAUAUUGUAUGAGCUGAAAUUUAUGACAUAGAAUACCUUAUAUUUGCUUCUGUCAAAUAAAACAUGUUAGUAUUUCACUAGAUAUAUGUAAAAUUGUUUUGCCACUUUUCCCCAUUUUCUUUACG
Molecule: long non-coding RNA, 927 nt
Filed under: Marmota monax (woodchuck)
Lineage: Eukaryota; Metazoa; Chordata; Mammalia; Rodentia; Sciuridae
Source: RNAcentral